RNAcentral lists this long non-coding RNA (479 nucleotides) under Phoenix dactylifera (date palm). RNAcentral's name for it is "long non-coding RNA (PDAC_LNC008666)". Lineage: Eukaryota; Viridiplantae; Streptophyta; Magnoliopsida; Arecales; Arecaceae. The record is from RNAcentral.
AGCUUGCCAGGAAACUUGCAAGAUAAGUCUAACGAUAAAGAGUAGAUAGGUGCAUGAGGAUACCACUAGCAUGAAAGUAGCUAGAAAGAGGAUGAUCAAAGGAAGGAUACGAGAGUAAUGUGGGUCCAGGUGACUUGACCUUCAAGAAUUUUUGCGACCAUCACACCGUCGUUCGAAGAAGGUGGAUUAGGAUAGGGAUAGGAUGUAGUAUAGGUUAUGUAGGAGAGAUCUAAGUUAGCUUUGCUUCUAAGAUAGAGUCCUACUUGUAAAUUAAAUAUUGGAUAAGGUAAACCUAAUGCAAAGACAAGUAAAGAUAAAAUAAAAUUGACUGAUAUGUUAGAGGUCAAAAGGUCCCUGUUACAAAGCACGAUUCUACUUAUUUAUACUAAAUGACAAACUAUAAGUAACUACCUGCUUCUAGUAUUUGCUACCCAUGUCUGGCCUCCACUCUCUUUGAUGGUUCAGAUAACUGAUGCUAG